Molecule: long non-coding RNA, 146 nt
Organism: Sphaeramia orbicularis (orbiculate cardinalfish)
Lineage: Eukaryota; Metazoa; Chordata; Actinopteri; Kurtiformes; Apogonidae
Exons: 3
Source: RefSeq, a predicted model, not a curated record
UAAUGUAAUUACACUGUGAAAAAAUGCAGUGUCAAUAUUUCAGAGUCAAGUUAUUUUAACCGAGAUAGAGUAUUUUUAGCUCUAUGGAGGUAAACCAGCUCUAAGAGUAGAGUUAAAAGUCAGUGUGCAGUGUAAAAUUCAACUCU